CAAGACAGGAUUAGAUACCUUGGUAGUCCACGUUCUUAAGGAUAUCAACUGGUUGUUGGGAGGGUUUCGGAAUUCCAUCGUAGCUAACGCGUGAAGUUGACCGCAGGGGAGUACGCAGUUCAAGGUUGAAACUCAAAGGAAUUGACAUGGGUCCCGCACAACCGCUGGAGCAUGUGGUUUAAUUCAGAAAUUACGCGAAAAACCUUCCCCACCCUUAUCACGUCAGGAAUCGGCAGAGAUGUGAGAGGGCUUUAAAGAGAACGUGAACACAUCCCUUGCAUGUAUUAACGUCAAGGAUUUCUUUGAGAACAAAAGUUAAGUCCCGCAACGAGGCCAUCCCUCGUCACUAGGCAUGGCGAAAUGGCACUUUCCCCCAUUGUCCGGAAUUCCCCCGGAGGAAGGUGGGGAGGAGUCUGGGUCAUCUUUCCCUUUAUGGGUAGGGCUACACACGUCAUACAAUGGCCGGGACAGAGGGCUGCCAACCCCUUUGGGGGACCUAAUCCCAGAAACCCUGUCGUAGUCUGCAUUGCAGUGAGCAACUCGGAUCCCCGAAGUUGGAAUUCAUAGUAAAUGCGGAUCAACUUGCUCCGGUGAACACGUUUCCCGCUCUUGUGCACACCUUCCGUCACACCACUCGACCGGGUUCCACC
RNAcentral lists this ribosomal RNA (650 nucleotides) under Roseateles sp. AD145. RNAcentral describes it as "bacterial SSU rRNA". It matches the Rfam family "Bacterial small subunit ribosomal RNA", at positions 769 to 1421 of the family's 1533-position model. The record is from RNAcentral. Lineage: Bacteria; Pseudomonadati; Pseudomonadota; Betaproteobacteria; Burkholderiales; Sphaerotilaceae.